This is a non-coding RNA of Anas platyrhynchos (mallard), 4929 nucleotides long. The record is from RefSeq and is a predicted model, not a curated record. NCBI's taxonomy places the organism in Eukaryota, Metazoa, Chordata, Aves, Anseriformes, Anatidae.
UCUUGCCUUGGUUUAGCAAUUUAUUUAGGACUUACUCCAGGUACUGGAGGAGAAACUGGCAGCCUUUGAUUACUUCCUGAGAAGGUGAUGGCUGUCAUGGGUCAUACUCAAGGAACAGUAGUGUUUCCAAAGCAGUAGGAUAAAGUCAAUAGAUGGAAGGAUCAAGAGUAGAUUUUUCAUUAGACCACUCAACUAUUGACUUUGCCAUCCUGUUUUGGAAAUACUCAUGUCACCUGGAACUGACCAGAAUUUGAAUCACCUGCACAGACAUUAAGCAGAGACAGCUGCCAGUAGUUAAAAUUAUUUCUUGGUGGCUUUUGGCAUAGAAAAUUUUUAAGAAUAGGAAAGGAGAGCCUUGCUAGGAAACAGUUUUCCCAAAAUAUUUUGGAAUGUAAAGGGAAGGAUUGAUAUCCAGCUUAGCAAUUCUGUAUAUAUCAUAAAGGUGUUGGACAUUGUAGAACUGGCUCUCCAGCCCAAUUUUUGAAUUGUCUGCAUCAACUUAACAGUAAAAUACUUGAGAGGGAGGAAAGGUGACUCUCAAUGAUAGUUUAAAGGACUCCCUAUUUUUCAAGGCCUUAUUUCAAAGAGGCAGUCCUGUUCAUAACUACUUGUGCAUGCACAUAAAACCCACAAAGCCAGAAGAGAAAGUAGAUGCUGAGUGGGAGCACCUCAUGAGUGGUAGAGGUGACGGAGCCAGCUCCCUGACAAGUCUUCUAGCACAAAGCCGUACCUCUAAGGCUGAUAAAUGAGGUGUGAAAGCACACUGAUGUAAACCAAAACUGCAUGGAAGACCUGACAGCAACCGGGAGGAUGGGCAGUAGAGAAUUUUCUCCAGCCUUCCAGAGCAGGCCGCUGAUUCAACAGUAAGCUGGGAGAACCCUAGGAGAAUGCAGAGAAUGCUUUGCUACAUGGAAAGGAAUCCACAAGAAGGAAAACCCCCAAAUAGCCUCACCAGACUUUGGAUCAGGCCCAUGAAAAUGCAUGUGCUUUGGACAACGAUCAAAGAAGGGGCAAAAUGAAUCACCUCUAUUUCUGCAGAAAGAGCUUCCUUCUCUGAACACCUGGGUGUGGCUUCUCUCUGUUCUCAUAAAAUCAGUCUCAUGACCAAUUGCAGGAACACCCAGGGAACAGAACAAGGAGUUCUCUUGCAUCUGAAGACAGCCCCUAGGCUCUACAAGUUUGAUAACUUCCCAGUCAAUGAGUGAAUGUUCCUCUCUCAAUUUUUAUCAUUCACUGACAAAUUCUCUAGACACAUCCUUUGUUAAUCUGGAAGCCUUAAGAGAAAGCACCCCUCUCCCUGCUCAGGACCAGUUGUGCGAAAUUAAAGAAAGGAUCCAAUUAGAGGCUGGGGGCCUUCUUUAUCACCCUGAUACCUUCAACCAGACCACAGACCCCCAAAAUCAUCUGACAUUAACAUGGCACCAGAGGCUUGCCUCUAGCUGCAGGUAUCUUCUUGUUCGUCUGCUAGAAGAUAGAACGAAAAAGGAGCUCCUGACCUGUGUGGAAUCAUUCAGUAUUUUGCAGGCUCCUAUCUUCAUGGCUGCAAGGACUAACAAAUGCCUAUUUAAAAACAUUUAUUUUUCAUUGUCGUAGAGGUAAAAAUCACCCACACAAUGCAGAUAUUACACACAACAGUGAUUCUGGUAAAAGAUAGGUAUCAACUAGAAGCAGCUCGAUGAGUUUCUUGCUCAGAGUUAGUUUAUUUGAAUACUGCCAACAAGACUAUUAUCAGUUUCAUUUCUCUGAAUGAGGCCUAUUUAGCUUGUAUAUCAUUUUUAGAGGUGUGGGAAAGGGUUGCCCUUAUAAUUGGUUCAUGUCCAGCCAUGCAUUUCACACAUCGUCAGAUGGCUUGUUCUGCAAGUACUUCUUCAAAGGACACACCUUCAGCUAUUCCAUUUGCCUGUGCCUCUGAAGUAUGACACCCUUAGAAGAAAUAUGAGAUGGCUUCAAAAAUAUUAGGGUUUCCCUACCUGGAAAAGAUGAUAAGUCAUAUUCUGCAAAGAUAAUAUGUCCCUUCAUACUGGCACAGAUUGAUCUUUGUAAAGCUAGCUAUUUUCCUUCCAAGUUUGGGUUUUAAAUUUCUCUCAGCUUUGUUGAGAACCAUUUACUCAUCUGUCUCUCACACAUAUACAAGAAAUGUCAUACAUUUGAUGCCUACCAAUGCCAAAAACUUUCAGAGGCAGUCAUCUUGUGGGUGCAAUGAAAUAUCAACUAGACAUCUCAAGCUAUUCUCCAAAUAUAAAUAUGUGUCUGUAAAUUGCUCCUAGAGGCAGAUGGGGCACGAAUUAAAAUUCGUACAGAUCUUAUUAAAAGAAAAAAAAUCUCUUUGUAGGCCUAUAACAAAAGCAUUUUGAUGACUUACAAAAUAAAUCAGGGGAGUUAUCUUUUCACAGGAAGUGCCGAUCUAACUAAAUAUUUUUAAUGAUUAAGAGAAACCCUUUUUACUCUACUAAUGGAAAAGUUCUGUGCUGAGGCACCAAUGACAUUGAUUUAUGAAUAACUAGAUAUAAAAGAGCAAAAUAAUAUUGAGCUUUCAAAUGUGAAGAAGUAUCUUAAGAACAACCUGCAGGUUUCUUGGACAUUUUUACAGGUUAACACUAGACAGGGUCUUUAUAUGUAACCCAGAGCAACAUUUUUGAAUCAUAUCAAAGGAAGAGAUCCGCUUUCUCAAGAUUCAAAUGCUCCAAAGUAAUGCAUACAGCCUGGUCUCAUCAAUGCAAAGAUGUGGACACUUUCAAAGAAUAAUUAUUGCAUGUAUCUGAGACUCCUGUCAGAGAGUGGAAUGAGGCAAAUGCCUUUUCUUGAAAGCAGGAAUUCUGAAAAGUUAAGCUGGAUGCCUAAGUAGUUGUACUUCUAGUCUUUGAUGGACUAAUAGGGAAAAUGGUGCACCAACCAGAACAUGGGAAAAGGCUGAGGCCUGCAACAUCUGGCAUUGGAAUGGGCUGCCCAGGGAAGUGGUGGAGUCACCAUCCCUGGAAGUCUUUAAAAGACGUUUAGAUGUAGAGCUUAGGGAUAUGGUUUAUUGGGGACUGUUAGCGUUAGGUCAGAGGUUGGACUCGAUGAUCUUGAGGUCUCUUCCAACCUAGAAAUUCUGUGAUUUUGUGAUCUAAGUUUUACUGGAGAGGAUGGAGGUGAGAGGAUUGGAGAAGGGGGAAAGGGUGGGGCUAGGGCCCUGUGCAGUGGGAAGUGGGCUGGGAAGCUAGGAGAGCUCGUUAUCAAGACAUUCCAGGGGGGGGGAAAAAAAAAAAGCAGAGAGGAUUAUUCCCCUCUAGGGAAACUGAGCUGUGUGUAUGAGCUGGUUUAUAUAUGUAUGUUGUCUUCUCAGGAACAUGGGCAGCCCAGAGCUAUCAAGGGCUGCCCUGAAUAUUGAUCUGAGAGCACCCAGUCUAGACAGUCCCAGCAUGAGAUCCUCUGGAUCCCCUCUGCUCCUCUCUACAACAAAAGGAGAAUACAAUGGGAAAAUGUGGUGCUGGAAGCAAGUUACCAUAUAGCUAAGACUGCAGAGCUUCAAGUCUUCAAUCAAGUAAGGACAACCUCAGGAAUGAUGCUGUAUAUCAGUUGGGACAGGCCUUGUGUCCUGCUCUCAGUGGAUAAGAACAAUUCUACCAUGUUUUCACAAGUCUUUGAGAGGAUAUUGGUACUAGGUGAUAUGGAUGGUACCCAGUGUGUAAGGCAAAAAAUUUAUCACAGGCAUUUUCUUCUUGUGUGAAUUUUGAGAGAGAGUUCUAAGGAUAUGUCCUCAAUUAAUUGUCCUGUUUACCUUCACAAAGUUUUCAUUAUCUGACUUCCCUACUUUGGCGGUGCUUGGUGGUCCAAGCCUGACUUUGUGUGUCAAAGCUGAGGGACAUGGAAGAUUGCCUCACCUCUUACUUAUGCUGUGCAUCCCAACCAUGUCCUGCCUGCAGAUGUGUGUGUGUCAGCUGGCUGUGCAACAUGCAUCUUGUACGUUCUGGUUUCCUGUGGAGGGGAGCUUUGUUGCGUGGAUGGUCAGAGAGCCGUGAUGCAGAUAUCUCCCCACCAGGAUACCCAGAGAAGCCAGACUGUCACAGUGCUGCCAAGUUAACUUGCACUGCCUGUCAGGAAGAUCCACGUACCUUCUGGGUGCAGGGGUUGCACUUCCAAAUUUCAGCUCCCAUUCACAGCUUCUCUGCAGAUCUACUGUAGAAAAUACAUCCACAGGCAUCAAGUGAGAAAUUAACAUUGACAUUUUGACUCAGAAAUGAUACCUCAAUCAGUAUCAGUGGCCAUUGCACUAGACAUUCAUACAUAAGGAAACCUUUCCACACAGACUCUGAGUAUGUGGCAGGACUUUUCAUGUGGCUCAGGAAAGUAAGUAUCUAGCUAAGGUUUCUGGCUCAAGAGAUUAGGACAUCUCUAUAAGCUAAGUUUCUGGCCUCAGUCAUAAUGGAUCCUCACACAGUUGACAGGUCUCUAGGUGGAUGCCUGACUGGUUUAGUUGGUGAGUCAAAAGCAACUGGUUUUGAUGACAAUUUCUUUAUUUCCUAACAGGCUAGAAAAGUUUGUUCAACGUAACCCAAAGGUUAAAAACAGUUUGGGUCAAUGUUAAAUUAUUAGGAACCCAAAUUUCACUGUAAAAUCUCUAGAAGACAAAGAUCUGCUUUCUUUCUUCUUGGUCUUUGCAUUGAUUACAGUGGCUUUCAAUUAAGGUCCCAGGUGAAUUUUUUGUUAACACUUAGUGCAUGCUGAGUAAAUACUUUCAGUGCAAAAGGUUAAAGAGCUGGUAACUCAAAACAUUGAAGCUCUUGUUUUUCUCUGAAUCAAAAAGGAACACCAGCUUCUUCAGACAGCACUGCUGGAUUUGAGCUGUGGUUUUGGGGAGUCUGGGUACAGAAGAUGCAAACCUUCCCAGGCUGAAUUGUUACAUCUCCUAUUCACCCACAAUAAACUGUUUUGUUGUGUUUCUUUGUU